GUCGUGUUCAAUGGUGGUGUACUGUAUAUUCUAUAGAUAACAUAGAUGUUAGUAUAUUGUAGUUUAUAGCGGUUUGUAUUAUGAAUAAAACACUGUACACAUUACACAUUUUAUGUCGGUACGAUACUGUAAGAAAUGGAACGCAAUUUGAAUAGUUGUAAUACUUGCCGCAUGGCGGCGUCACUGCAGUUAUGUCAAAAGAAAAACCCUUGUUGUUGUUAACCCAUUUUUGUAAUAACCAUUCCUUCAUCAAAAUAUCUAAUAUCAGUGCUUUAUUUAUGAAAUCUUCUACAUGGUAGCAGAGCGUGGUUCAAAAAUAAAGUAAUAUCAAAGUUACGAUAAGAUAUCGAAGUUUCUCCGUAAUAAGCAAUUGUACCGGUCAUUUUGAAGGUUAUAGUAUAUAUAUACUCUGUCAACGUUACUAUUGUCUUUCUAAAUAGUCUGUGGUUAUAAUGUGAAUGAUUAACGCCCUCGCAAUUAGAACUACCAAUGAGCAUCAUCAUUGCAACGAAUUGUCAUUGCACUGACGUACGUCCGAAUGGCGCCUGCAUAAAUAGGCGUGCAACGCGACUCGCAGCCUUUUAGAGCCAUUAUCUUUGGCCGUGGCACUACAUAUUCACAUACCUCGUUGUUCCCGCUAGGGUUCUUCUCCACGGUGUUUCUUCUUUACGGCGUGCCUUUUUCUUCCACGUGCUACCACGUGCGCUCCCGCUGCGCGCAUACACGGUGCACUUCUACGGUGCGGAUCACGGUGCCGUAGCAGACGGACGGGAGAGCUGCCUCCCGACCACGUCCAGCUGCGCACCACCAUCGUCGGGUGUGCUGACCCCGACCGACUGCCAGCGAGCUGCCGCCGGAGCCGACCACGUGCACACUACCAACGUCGCGAGAGCUGACCCCGACCACGUGCACACCCUGCUCACCUACGUGGCCUUCCAACUGCCCGGCGAGCUGCCGCCGGAGCCAACCACGUGCAACAUCUACGUGCCGUUCGCCUGGAUCGGAGUUCCCCAGGCCAGUGACUCGUGUUGCAUAACACCAGCAACCAGUACCGAGUGUAACGCGGAGGUGUAAAAAUAAAGCUCGUACCACGUAAUUACCCUGAGUUUUCAAUUGUCUCCCUUCUAUCUGCGGGCAGGUCCCCAACCGCCGCAAUACGCUACACACGUGGCCGUUAUGAAUUCGCAUAUGUUCAAUCUGGAAAAAUUUAAUGGUCGCGACAAUUUUGACACCUGGAAGUUUAGUGCGAAAACCUACCUUGAACAUGAGGGACUACGGAAUUGUGUGGAACCCAAACCAGAUCAAACUGUCGACCUGUCGAAAGACAUUUUAGCUAAGUUCAAGCUGAUUUUAUUGAUAAAUUCCCAGAACUAUGUACACAUACAGGACUGCAAAACCGCGAAAGAGGUAUGGUCUAACCUACAUAAGGCAUUCGAUGAUAAUGGUCUCACCAGAAAAGGUGGUUUACUCAACGAAUUAAUAAACACAUCAAUUGAGUCUAGCAGUGGUAUAGAGGACUAUGUCAGUAGAAUUAUGAAUGCUGCCCACAAAUUGCGAAAUAUCAACUUUGAUGUAAACGACGAAUGGCUUGGCACAUUGAUGUUGGCCGGUCUGCCAGAUCAGUACAAGCCUAUGAUUAUGGGACUCGAAAACUCAGGAGCUAAAAUCAGUGCAGACCUAAUUAAAACCAAACUAUUGCAAGAAAUAGAAAUUACCAUUUGAAUAGUGCGCUUUACUCACAUACAAGAAAAUUUAAACAUAAUUCACAUAAGUCAAAACCCCCCUCAAGACAAACCAAAGGUCCCAGGUGUUACAAUUGUAAUGGUUAUGGACAUUAUGCAAAA
Manduca sexta (tobacco hornworm) is the source of this 1844-nucleotide long non-coding RNA. RefSeq lists it as uncharacterized. Lineage: Eukaryota; Metazoa; Arthropoda; Insecta; Lepidoptera; Sphingidae. The record is from RefSeq and is a predicted model, not a curated record. The transcript has 2 exons.